AGAGUUUGAUCCUGGCUCAGGAUGAACGCUAGCUACAGGCUUAACACAUGCAAGUCGAGGGGCAGCAUGGUCUUAGCUUGCUAAGACUGAUGGCGACCGGCGCACGGGUGAGUAACACGUAUCCAACCUGCCGUCUACUCUUGGACAGCCUUCUGAAAGGAAGAUUAAUACAAGAUGGCAUCAUGAGUCCGCAUGUUCACAUGAUUAAAGGUAUUCCGGUAGACGAUGGGGAUGCGUUCCAUUAGAUAGUAGGCGGGGUAACGGCCCACCUAGUCUUCGAUGGAUAGGGGUUCUGAGAGGAAGGUCCCCCACAUUGGAACUGAGACACGGUCCAAACUCCUACGGGAGGCAGCAGUGAGGAAUAUUGGUCAAUGGGCGAGAGCCUGAACCAGCCAAGUAGCGUGAAGGAUGACUGCCCUAUGGGUUGUAAACUUCUUUUAUAAAGGAAUAAAGUCGGGUAUGGAUACCCGUUUGCAUGUACUUUAUGAAUAAGGAUCGGCUAACUCCGUGCCAGCAGCCGCGGUAAUACGGAGGAUCCGAGCGUUAUCCGGAUUUAUUGGGUUUAAAGGGAGCGUAGAUGGAUGUUUAAGUCAGUUGUGAAAGUUUGCGGCUCAACCGUAAAAUUGCAGUUGAUACUGGCGACCUUGAGUGCAACAGAGGUAGGCGGAAUUCGUGGUGUAGCGGUGAAAUGCUUAGAUAUCACGAAGAACUCCGAUUGCGAAGGCAGCUCACUAGACUGCAACUGACACUGAUGCUCGAAAGUGUGGGUAUCAAACAGGAUUAGAUACCCUGGUAGUCCACACAGUAAACGAUGAAUACUCGCUGUUUGCGAUAUACAGUAAGCGGCCAAGCGAAAGCAUUAAGUAUUCCACCUGGGGAGUACGCCGGCAACGGUGAAACUCAAAGGAAUUGACGGGGGCCCGCACAAGCGGAGGAACAUGUGGUUUAAUUCGAUGAUACGCGAGGAACCUUACCCGGGCUUAAAUUGCAUUUGAAUAAUCUGGAAACAGGUUAGCCGCAAGGCAAAUGUGAAGGUGCUGCAUGGUUGUCGUCAGCUCGUGCCGUGAGGUGUCGGCUUAAGUGCCAUAACGAGCGCAACCCUUAUCUUUAGUUACUAACAGGUCAUGCUGAGGACUCUAGAGAGACUGCCGUCGUAAGAUGUGAGGAAGGUGGGGAUGACGUCAAAUCAGCACGGCCCUUACGUCCGGGGCUACACACGUGUUACAAUGGGGGGUACAGAAGGCAGCUACCUGGUGACAGGAUGCUAAUCCCAAAAACCUCUCUCAGUUCGGAUCGAAGUCUGCAACCCGACUUCGUGAAGCUGGAUUCGCUAGUAAUCGCGCAUCAGCCAUGGCGCGGUGAAUACGUUCCCGGGCCUUGCACUCACCGCCCGUCA
RNAcentral lists this ribosomal RNA (1396 nucleotides) under uncultured bacterium. RNAcentral describes it as "16S ribosomal RNA". It matches the Rfam family "Bacterial small subunit ribosomal RNA". The record is from RNAcentral.